Molecule: ribosomal RNA, 465 nt
Filed under: Vreelandella stevensii
Lineage: Bacteria; Pseudomonadati; Pseudomonadota; Gammaproteobacteria; Oceanospirillales; Halomonadaceae
Description: partial 16S ribosomal RNA
Rfam family: Bacterial small subunit ribosomal RNA
Source: RNAcentral
CCUACGGGUGGCAGCAGUGGGGAAUAUUGGACAAUGGGCGAAAGCCUGAUCCAGCCAUGCCGCGUGUGUGAAGAAGGCCUUCGGGUUGUAAAGCACUUUCAGUGGGGAAGAAAGCCUUGGGGCUAAUACCCUCGAGGAAGGACAUCACCCACAGAAGAAGCACCGGCUAACUCCGUGCCAGCAGCCGCGGUAAUACGGAGGGUGCGAGCGUUAAUCGGAAUUACUGGGCGUAAAGCGCGCGUAGGCGGUCUGAUAAGCCGGUUGUGAAAGCCCCGGGCUCAACCUGGGAACGGCAUCCGGAACUGUCAGGCUAGAGUGCAGGAGAGGAAGGUAGAAUUCCCGGUGUAGCGGUGAAAUGCGUAGAGAUCGGGAGGAAUACCAGUGGCGAAGGCGGCCUUCUGGACUGACACUGACGCUGAGGUGCGAAAGCGUGGGUAGCAAACAGGACUAGAUACCCUUGUAGUC